AGAACGAACGCUGGCGGCGUGGAUAAGACAUGCAAGUCGAACGCGACUUAUCAGGUUAGCAAUAACUCGGUAAGUUGAGUGGCGAAAGGGUGCGUAACACGUGGGAAUUUACCGAGAAGUGGGGGAAUAGCUUGACGAAAGUCAAAUUAAUACCGCAUACGAUCGAAAGAUCAAAGCCGGGGACCGCAAGGCCUGGCGCUUUUUGAGAAGCCCGCGGCCCAUCAGCUAGUUGGCGGGGUAAAAGCCCACCAAGGCUAUGACGGGUAGCUGGUCUGAGAGGACGACCAGCCACACUGGAACUGAGACACGGUCCAGACACCUACGGUGGCAGCAGUCGAGAAUUUUUCACAAUGGACGAAA
This 360-nucleotide ribosomal RNA is filed under the name uncultured bacterium. RNAcentral's name for it is "SSU rRNA". It matches the Rfam family "Bacterial small subunit ribosomal RNA", at positions 26 to 380 of the family's 1533-position model. The record is from RNAcentral.